GGCAGGAAGUGGAGCUGUCUGUACGCGCGGCCAUAGUCGGCUCCUCAACGUGGAGCGAUGGGAGGCCUUGAGAAGAAGAAGUAUGAACGAGGCUCAGCCACCAACUACAUCACCCGGAACAAAGCCCGGAAGAAGCUCCAGCUGAGCUUGGCUGACUUUAGGCGGCUGUGCAUUCUGAAGGGCAUUUAUCCCCAUGAACCCAAACACAAGAAGAAGGUUAACAAGGGUUCUACAGCAGCCCGAACGUUUUACCUUAUCAAAGACAUCAGGUUUCUCCUCCACGAACCCAUCGUCAACAAGUUCCGGGAAUACAAGGUGUUCGUCCGGAAGCUCCGGAAGGCUUAUGGGAAGAGUGAAUGGAACACUGUAGAGCGUUUAAAGGACAAUAAGCCCAACUACAAACUUGACCACAUCAUCAAGGAACGGUGAGCCGGGCUUUCCUUAGGACACUGCUGUUUCUUUAUUUACUGCUGGUCUCUGCCCUAGCACCAGGGAUACAGUAGGGAACAAGACCAAGACCCUGCUCAAAGAGCUUGCAACUUUUUCAAGGACACAGACCAAAAACCAAGCUAGCAAAUUACUAUAAUGAUUACGAGGUUUGUAGUUACAGGCUUGUCAGAGGGGUCUCUGAAGGGAGACGUUUGAGCCAGCCCGUGGAAGCACAAUCCAAGCAGAGGCUGUGGCAAGUGCAAAGGCCCUGUGGUGGGAGAGCC
RNAcentral lists this small RNA (713 nucleotides) under Pongo abelii (Sumatran orangutan). RNAcentral describes it as "retained intron". Lineage: Eukaryota; Metazoa; Chordata; Mammalia; Primates; Hominidae. The record is from RNAcentral.